Molecule: ribosomal RNA, 505 nt
Filed under: uncultured bacterium
Lineage: Bacteria
Description: bacterial SSU rRNA
Rfam family: Bacterial small subunit ribosomal RNA
Source: RNAcentral
GACGAACGCUGGCGGCGUGCCUAAUACAUGCAAGUCGAACGCACUCUCGUUUAGAUUGAAGGAGCUUGCUCCUGAUUGAUAAACAUUUGAGUGAGUGGCGGACGGGUGAGUAACACGUGGGUAACCUGCCCUAAAGUGGGGGAUAACAUUUGGAAACAGAUGCUAAUACCGCAUAAAACCUAACACCGCAUGGUGUAGGGUUGAAAGAUGGUUUCGGCUAUCACUUUGGGAUGGACCCGCGGUGCAUUAGUUAGUUGGUGAGGUAAAGGCUCACCAAGACCGUGAUGCAUAGCCGACCUAAGAGGGUAAUCGGCCACACUGGGACUGAGACACGGCCCAGACUCCUACGGGAGGCAGCAGUAGGGAAUCUUCCACAAUGGACGAAAGUCUGAUGGAGCAACGCCGCGUGAGUGAAGAAGGUUUUCGGAUCGUAAAACUCUGUUGUUGGAGAAGAAUGUAUCUGAUAGUAACUGAUCAGGUAGUGACGGUAUCCAACCAGAAAGCC